Manis javanica (Malayan pangolin) is the source of this 358-nucleotide long non-coding RNA. RefSeq lists it as uncharacterized. The record is from RefSeq and is a predicted model, not a curated record. NCBI's taxonomy places the organism in Eukaryota, Metazoa, Chordata, Mammalia, Pholidota, Manidae.
GAACUGUGUCAGGUGGAAUUCAAUGGCCACAACCUCCUUUCUCAUAACUUCAACUAAACUUAAUGAUCCCAGCAGACGGGUUAGGGAGACCUCCUGCUUCCCUGAAAGUCCUCAGCAGUUACAAGGGGACAUGCAGAAGUUCUAACUGCCAGACAGCAUGUUACAUUUCCUCUUCCACUGCUGACUACAUACCUCGUAACAGGAGAAGCAUUAAUUUGACCUUGAAUGUGAUCUCUUAGCAACAGGAAGGUAUAAAAACAUCAUAUUUCACUUGAAGAUGAAUCACAUUAAGGAAGAAAUAAAAGUAUCAAGGAAAGAGAAAUGAAGCACGGGCAUUUGUGAAUUAAAAUUAGUGAAU